GCUCAAAAAUCCGUUCUGAUUUUUGUGAACAAAAAAUCAUGGCAACUGGAACAGUCCGUCAACUUGGUUUCGUGAUAUAAAUCAUAUUUUCGUGAUUUAUUGCAACUCCUUUCUGCGAACAUGUUCUCGAAUCUAGGAUCAAAAGAUCAUAUCUGUUUCCUGUCAUCAACAAACUCGUUACAUUUCGGAAUGAUAGAACAGAGUUCUUGUUUUCGUGAUAAUGAAAUUCCGUGCGCGUGAUUUUGUGCUCGAUAACGGGAACAAAUUCCACGACUAUUUGGAGCUGUCACUUUCUGUAACGCAUCGAUGAAGAAAAAUAAAAAAAAAAUAAACGGAUCAUCAUCAAACAAGACGUGGUGUGCAACCUUCUCAAAUAGGAAAUACUAGCUCCUAUGCACGUCGAAAUGUUCUGGCAGACUCAUCAGAUUGCAGAAGAGACGAUUGUCAUCUGUGCUGAAAUCACCUUCAAACAACCGCAAGCAUUGACCUGGUUAAUGCAGUGAAAAUGCUGAAAAUUCUAUUUCCUGUACGUGGGAAUGUGCCAGUGAUCAGCGACCUCGUUUUCCUCGUGAAAAUCCAGCCAGGACUCAGGAGGAGCAGCCUCCUCAUUUUCUAUUCCGACUCCCGGAGACCGAUGGUGCAUAUCUUGUGAUGCUUGGCUGGCGGUUUCGCAAAUUUUCUACCAGAUGAAGCUGGAACGGAACGCUUCAGGCGAUCGAGGGAUUAGCAUAGUCUCGGAAUCGAUUCUACCACUACGAUAAUCAUUUGCCGUCUUCCAAAAUGACAACAGUGAUUCAUAGUGAUAAAUAAAACAUGAUUGUGAACAUAGACCCACCAUACAAUUUGUUUAAAGAAUAGAGAUUAAAGUGAUCUUUUAAUAAAAUGUCUCUGGAAUCGAGCAA
This is a long non-coding RNA of Aedes albopictus (Asian tiger mosquito), 902 nucleotides long. RefSeq lists it as uncharacterized. The transcript is spliced from 2 exons. Lineage: Eukaryota; Metazoa; Arthropoda; Insecta; Diptera; Culicidae. The record is from RefSeq and is a predicted model, not a curated record.